Molecule: small RNA, 168 nt
Filed under: Gopherus agassizii (Agassiz's desert tortoise)
Lineage: Eukaryota; Metazoa; Chordata; Testudines; Testudinidae
Description: TUC338 (ENSGAGG00000012427.1)
Source: RNAcentral
UCAUCUGUCUUGGGGACUGACACCUCCUAUUUACCCACAGAGCAGGUACAGCAAGGGCAGUGGCAAUCCAAGCUUCCUCCCCACCGUCCCAGCAUACACAUCUCUCCACUGGACCCCGAGAAAUAGAAAGAAUGUCUCCGUCAGCGACAGCUGAGGUUGGAGGCCAGA